This 494-nucleotide ribosomal RNA is filed under the name uncultured bacterium. RNAcentral's name for it is "partial 16S ribosomal RNA". It matches the Rfam family "Bacterial small subunit ribosomal RNA", at positions 28 to 507 of the family's 1533-position model. The record is from RNAcentral.
GACGAACGCUGGCGGCGUGCUUAACACAUGCAAGUCGAACGGAAAGGCCUGCUUUCCCUUGUGGAUUGCGGGUACUCGAGUGGCGAACGGGUGAGUAACACGUGAGUGAUCUGCCCCCAACUUGGGUAUAAGCCUGGGAAACUGGGUCUAAUUCCCGAUAGGACUGCAGGGUGGUGCCUGUGGUGGAAAACGAUUUUCUAGUGGUUGGGGAUGAGCUCGCGGCCUAUCAGCUUGUUGGUGGGGUAAUGUCUUACCAAGGCGGCGACGGGUAGCCGGCCUGGGAGGGUGGACGGCCACAUUGGGACUGAGAUACGGCCCAGACUCCGACGGGAGGCAGCAGUGGGGAAUAUUGCACAAUGGGCGGAAGCCUGAUGCCGCGACGCCGCGUGGGGGAUGACGGCCUUCGGGUUGUAAACUCCUUUCGACCGCGAGGAAGCCACCUGGUUGGAAGGGUGGUGACGGUAGUGGUAGAAGAAGCACCGGCUAACUACGUG